ACGGAAGGCAGCAGUGAGGAAUAUUGGUCAAUGGGCGGAAGCCUGAACCAGCCAAGUCGCGUGAAGGAUGAAGGUAUUAUGUAUUGUAAACUUCUUUAGACGCAGAGAAAUAAGGAGGUCGAGACCUCUGAUGCUAGUAUGCGUAGAAUAAGGAUCGGCUAACUCCGUGCCAGCAGCCGCGGUAAUACGGAGGAUCCGAGCGUUAUCCGGAUUUAUUGGGUUUAAAGGGUGCGCAGGCGGUCUUUUAAGUCAGUGGUUAAAUCGUGAGGCUCAACCUCAUCACGCCAUUGAUACUGGAGGACUUGAUUGCGGUUGAGGUUGGCGGAAUUCGCCGUGUAGCGGUGAAAUGCAUAGAUAUGGCGAAGAACUCCGAUUGCGUAGGCAGCUGACCAAGCCGUAAAUGACGCUCAUGCACGAAAGUGCGGGGAUCAAACAGGAUUAGAUACCCUGGUA
RNAcentral lists this ribosomal RNA (453 nucleotides) under uncultured Porphyromonadaceae bacterium. RNAcentral's name for it is "partial 16S ribosomal RNA". It matches the Rfam family "Bacterial small subunit ribosomal RNA", at positions 341 to 792 of the family's 1533-position model. Lineage: Bacteria; Pseudomonadati; Bacteroidota; Bacteroidia; Bacteroidales; Porphyromonadaceae. The record is from RNAcentral.